GAAAUUGGUAAAUUGGACGAUGGACUUUACAGGCUUGUGCAAUCUUCUUCUUUUUCUUCUUUUUCUUCUUCUUAUCUUCAAUCUCAUACUCCUUGUAAAUACCAUUCUCCAUUAGUUGCUGAUUCUGUUUCUUCCUCUCAUUGUACAUACCAUUCUGAAUAAAAUAAAAUGGAGAUGUUAUGGCAUAACAGACUAGGACACAUACCUUUUGUUAGAAUGAAAGACAUUCCUCAUAUUCCAUGCAAGUUUGCA
This 252-nucleotide long non-coding RNA is filed under the name Nicotiana benthamiana. Its description in RNAcentral is "long non-coding RNA (NBEN_LNC001450)". The record is from RNAcentral. Lineage: Eukaryota; Viridiplantae; Streptophyta; Magnoliopsida; Solanales; Solanaceae.